GGAACUUUAGAAGCUUGCUUUUAAAGUUUAGUGGCGCACGGGUGAGUAACGCGUGGGUAACCUGCCUUCAAAUCUGGGAUAACUUAUGGAAACGUAUGCUAAUACCGGAUAAUCUCUGGUCUCGAAUGGGAUCGGAGUAAAAGCCGCCCUCUAUUUAUAAGGUGGUGUUUGAAGAGGGGCCCGCGUCCUAUUAGUUUGUUGGUGUGGUAAUGGCGCACCAAGACUGAGAUGGGUAGCCGGCUUGAGAGAGUGAUC
Molecule: ribosomal RNA, 255 nt
Filed under: uncultured bacterium
Lineage: Bacteria
Description: partial 16S ribosomal RNA
Rfam family: Bacterial small subunit ribosomal RNA
Source: RNAcentral